ACAUGCAGGAGGGAAGUGGGGAACGUGUAUUUGCAUGAUUGUCAGCACAGGUAGAGAAAAAUACCCAGUUUGGAUUGACCUUUUGAAUGCACGUGAACUCACUCAGAGUUGGUUUUGUUUUGUUAGCUGGACAAAAUUUCAAAAACUUUUUCAUAGGAAACCCUUCGUAUGCACCAAGAUUCAAGCACCUCCAUCUACAUAAAAUUUUUAAAUUGACCCAUGAAAAGAGUUUGGCAUAUUAGAUCAGAGUCAGUGUUGGAUCACAAGAUUCACUGCUUUUUUCCUGCCCUUAUUCUAAUGGCCUAAAAACGUCAUAGUCCAUGACUAUCCUGCCCUUAUUUUAAUGACCUAAAAAUGUCAAUAUCCAUGACUAUCACCAGUUUAGUUAGCUAGGGUUGUUGGAGUUGUGAUCUCUUUCAUUGUCAUCUCUAAACCUGAGUGAGUGAAAUCAAAAGUAGGUGAAUAGUUCGUGAACAAUUGUAAUUUAUUUUGAUUUAUACAACUACUAACUGCUUUGUAUAUACAGACACCCGGAUCUUAUGUAUCUCCAUUGCUUGGCUUUAUCAGUACAUGAAUUUUUUGUUUUUGGAAAACCAAGCAAAUUGUAUUACUGUGUGGUAGUUUGAAUCCCAUGUUAACAGAAAAAGUGCUUUUUAUUGGAGGAGGGCUGCAUUUUUCCAUGUACCAGAAUCUGAGGAAGAUUUUGGAGAAAUUAUGAUCAAUUGAGAUUUGAUUUUCUUUAGUCCAGUGUUCAUUGCCGAGGAAUUCAAGCUUCCAGAAGCUUGGAUUCUUUGACUAGGUUUAUUUUUCUUCUCUCAACUAAGGCAAUUCACAGUUCACACACAGCUUUUGGGUUCAAGAGAAUCAGAUUUCUUGUCUCGGGAAGCCAUUUUUGUUUGCAGGGUUUGAAAAAACUUCAUUGCAUUUCACAGAAAAAAAGAAAAUUGCAUGUUCCAAGGAGGCCUCAUGUUGGUCAAAGCAAGCUGUUAUCCUGUAAAGCAUUCAAUUACAACCGGAGGGCUGGUGAAUUUAAGGGUUAGGGUUGAAGGUAUUUUCAGUGUCCACAAAGGAGGGUGCAGGAGCUGUAUAUGACACAGCUAGCAAGCCUGAAGAUUAGCCUGGUUUUUCAUUGAGCCAUAUGGUGCAGAAAUUAGAUUUGUUUGUUGAGGUGAUGGCUUCUGCAAAUUGUUCUUCCUCAUCGUUAGGAAAGAGAAAGAAAAGAAACGAUUUUGUCAGUGGUGAUAGUACAAAACUAGAAGUGGUAACAACAGAUUCAGUAGGGAAUGCAACAGAGAUCUCCAGUGGUUUGGCGCCCAUUAGAACCAAUUCAUCUUCAUCUUGCAGAUCUGAGACAGAAAAGAAGUUUGAAGAAGAAGAAUGUUGUGUGACACCCAAGUCUGAGGAACACAAGAUAUCCUCCAUGACAAUGUGCCCUCCUGCACCUCGCAAACCCAAAUCAGCUCCUCUAAAGAGAAAUCCUGCAAUUAUAUCACGUCGCAGAGCAAUUCAUAUUCCUUCAGAUUCACCUGAUUUGGACUUACUUUUCGGUUCAGAUCUGACCAAAGAUCACCAGCAUCAGAAGAAGAAGCAUAAAAAGAAAGAAAACAAUUCAAAUAUCAGAGAAGAAAGCCAAAAUUAGAUAGAUCUUAGGAUAGUAUCUGCCCAUGUAACCAAAAAAGAUUAGAACUGAUGGUCUUGGUGACAUUUUUUGUUUGUUUGGGUGGGGGGGUAAUGUGCAUUACCAUGGAGAGUACUGUAACUAAGCUUCGUUGUACAAUUGCUGGUUGUACGUUCUACUGUAUAUCCUAGAUUUGUGUUCCAAAAGGGGGGUCUGCAUGUCUACUGCUCAAUCUAAUAUAAGAUUCGGUGCCUGUCACAUUGGGAUCAAAUCUUUUUUGUUAUCAGUGUUUUUGCUUUUCCAAAGAUUUGGAUUCUCAUUGAAAUUGUGAUAUGAGGCCAUUUUGUCAUGUCUAGUUCUUGUACACAGGUUUGCAAGAAUGGCAUAAAUGGGAAUUCAGGUUUGUCAAAUCUUAAAAUGCAAAGUCUAGAAAUGUAUGAUGCAUUGCUCAUGCUUUUGUAUACUAUGUUUGACAAUCUUCUCUGUAUAUUUAAAUCUUCUUUCUGAAAGUCAGAUUGGAAAAAAAAUAAAAUUGUAUCAAAUUCAACAGCCCUGCCUGCAAAGUCGGUGAUGCUGUGUUCUAAGAUUGAAA
Molecule: long non-coding RNA, 2210 nt
Organism: Cryptomeria japonica (Japanese cedar)
Lineage: Eukaryota; Viridiplantae; Streptophyta; Pinopsida; Cupressales; Cupressaceae
Exons: 2
Source: RefSeq, a predicted model, not a curated record